AUUGAACGCUGGCGGCAUGCCUAACACAUGCAAGUCGAACGGCAGCACAAUGUGUAGCAAUACACAUGGGUGGCGAGUGGCGGACGGGUGCGUAAUGUGUAGGGAUCUGCCCUGAAGUGGGGGGCAACCCGGGGAAACUCGGGCUAAUACCGCAUAAUACUCUACGGAGGAAAUCUGGCUACGUAAGUAGCUGGUGCUUUAGGAUGAACCUACAUCCGAUUAGCUAGUUGGUGAGGUAGUAGCUUACCAAGGCGAUGAUCGGUAGCUGGUCUGGGAGGAUGGCAAGCCACACUGGGACUGAGACACGGCCCAGACUCCGACGGGAGGCAGCAGUGGGGAAUAUUGGACAAUGGGGGAAACCCUGAUCCAGCAAUGCCGCGUGGGUGAAGAAGGCCUUCGGGUUGUAAAGCCCUUUAGGCGGGGAAGAAGGUUCUAGGGUGAUAAGCCUUAGAGCUUGACGGUACCCGCAGAAUAAGCACCGGCUAACUCUGUGCCAGCAGCCGCCGUAA
This 509-nucleotide ribosomal RNA is filed under the name uncultured bacterium. Its description in RNAcentral is "partial 16S ribosomal RNA". It matches the Rfam family "Bacterial small subunit ribosomal RNA", at positions 30 to 523 of the family's 1533-position model. The record is from RNAcentral.